Molecule: long non-coding RNA, 1358 nt
Organism: Carya illinoinensis
Lineage: Eukaryota; Viridiplantae; Streptophyta; Magnoliopsida; Fagales; Juglandaceae
Exons: 3
Source: RefSeq, a predicted model, not a curated record
GUCCAUAGGAAUCUAUUUCAAAAUCUUUCUCAAGUAAGAGAUAGAAUAUUAGCUGCAGAGAUUUGCUCCACAAAAUUCUAAUUCAGAUGAUGCUUUGCUGAAACUGAAAAUUUUGGAGCAGGAAUAUGAUGCUAUUCUUUUACGAAAGAAAACUUUCUAUAAACAGAAAUUUAGAAGUUCUUUAUAAAAGAAGAAAAGCUUCCUAUUCUUCUCUAAAUUUGCCUAAUGGGGAGUUAUGUUCAAAUCCUUCAACUAUUCACUCGGCUGCAAUCAAGUUUUCUCGGCAACAUUUAUCUUGUGAACCUGUUGCGUAUUCUCUGCUUUGCUGGAGGUUAUUCCUAAUGUCAUUUCUGAUAUAGAUAAUCUUCAUAUGUUGAGGCCACCGUCUCUGGAAGAAGUUAAGAAUGCAGUAUGUUCUAUCCCUCCAGAUUUGGCUCCAGGUCCUGAUGGCUAUACUUCUUCCUUUUUCUGAAGCUGCUGGAACAUUAUUGCAACUGAUCUUCAUGAGGCAACCUUGGAUUGUUUUUUCAUAGGGCUUAAGGCACGGAGAUCCCUGAUCUCCUCUCCUAUUCAUGUUGAGUGAAGAACCAAUUAGCCGAGGCGUGUCCAAAAUAGUAAACUCCGCUGUUGUUACUCCUCAUUCCAUACCUCGAGGAUGUCCAUUAAUUCUCACGUCAUGUUUGCUGAUGGCAUUUUGAUUUUAACUAAUGGAUCGAAGGAAAGUUGAACAAUUUUUUAUAAAAUUUAUCUCAAAAUAUGAAGCUGCUUCUGUCAGAAAAUGAAUCCCCAGAAAAGCUCUUUCUUCAUGCAUAAAUCCAUAACCAGAACCAGAAUGUAGUGGCUGCAACAACAGGUUUUGCUGAAGGGUCUUGCCCAACUAAAUACUUGGGAGCUCCUCUUUCUUAUGGCCCAUAAAUAAAGGUUGUUUGGGUUUUAAGGAACAUUCAUGAUACAUUAGCAGCUCUUCAAUGCAAACUAUCUUGGAGGCUUUCAGCAUCUGAGUCUCCAUGGGCAAGCUAUAUGUUUCAUAUAAAGAAUGCUGUUUCUUAGCUCAUCCAUGUGGAAGUCUAUAUGUCCUUGCUUGUCUAGAAACCUCUCUCCUACAAUUGGGGGAGCUCUCUCUCCGGCCGGUAGAGGUUUUGCUAUUGUACGUAUGUCCUUCAUUAACUCAAGAUGUAAGUACUCAUGCGGGCUAGAAUAUUCCAAAGCUAUCUGCAAUUGGUAGGGCUGAAAGAAAAAACUGAAAAAUCGACCAAAGCGACUGGUUUGUCCCGGUUCAAUACCGGCUCCGUUCCGAGAAUCAAGACCAGUUAAAAACUAAUUGGGUCUCAAUUUUCUUUAAAAACUGAACUGGACCA